RNAcentral lists this ribosomal RNA (370 nucleotides) under Streptomyces sp. WPS135. RNAcentral describes it as "bacterial SSU rRNA". It matches the Rfam family "Bacterial small subunit ribosomal RNA", at positions 99 to 481 of the family's 1533-position model. The record is from RNAcentral. Lineage: Bacteria; Bacillati; Actinomycetota; Actinomycetes; Kitasatosporales; Streptomycetaceae.
CGAACGGGUGAGUAACACAGUGAGCAAAUCUGCCCUGCACUCUGGGACAAGCCCUGGAAACGGGGUCUAAUACCGGAUAUGACCGUCUUGGGCAUCCUUGACGGUGUAAAGCUCCGGCGGUGCAGGAUGAGCCCGCGGCCUAUCAGCUUGUUGGUGAGGUAGUGGCUCACCAAGGCGACGACGGGUAGCCGGCCUGAGAGGGCGACCGGCCACACUGGGACUGAGACACGGCCCAGACUCCUACGGGAGGCAGCAGUGGGGAAUAUUGCACAAUGGGCGAAAGCCUGAUGCAGCGACGCCGCGUGAGGGAUGACGGCCUUCGGGUUGUAAACCUCUUUCAGCAGGGAAGAAGCGAGAGUGACGGUACCUG